UACGUAGGGUGCUAGCGUUGUUCGGAAUCAUUGGGCGUAAAGCGCGUGUAGGUGGUUAUCUAAGUCGAGUGUGAAAUCCCCAGGCUCAACCUGGGAAGUGCAUUCGAAACUAGAUGGCUAGAAGACGGUAGAGGAAGGUAGAAUUCCUAGUGUAGAGGUGAAAUUCGUAGAUAUUAGGAGGAACACCGGUGGCGAAGGCGGCCUUCUGGACCGUUCUUGACACUGAGACGCGAAAGCGUGGGGAGCAAACAGG
This 253-nucleotide ribosomal RNA is filed under the name uncultured bacterium. RNAcentral's name for it is "partial 16S ribosomal RNA". It matches the Rfam family "Bacterial small subunit ribosomal RNA", at positions 524 to 776 of the family's 1533-position model. The record is from RNAcentral.